GUUCUUGUAGUUGAAUAACAACGGUGGUUUUUCAUAUCAUUAGUCCUGGUUAAGAUCCGGGCAGGAAUU
This is a non-coding RNA of Gadus morhua (Atlantic cod), 69 nucleotides long. The record is from the annotation of a RefSeq genome assembly. NCBI's taxonomy places the organism in Eukaryota, Metazoa, Chordata, Actinopteri, Gadiformes, Gadidae.